This 497-nucleotide ribosomal RNA is filed under the name uncultured bacterium. RNAcentral's name for it is "partial 16S ribosomal RNA". It matches the Rfam family "Bacterial small subunit ribosomal RNA", at positions 28 to 507 of the family's 1533-position model. The record is from RNAcentral.
GACGAACGCUGGCGGCGUGCCUAAUACAUGCAAGUUGAGCGCUGAAGGUUGGUACUUGUACCAACUGGAUGAGCAGCGAACGGGUGAGUAACGCGUGGGGAAUCUGCCUUUGAGCGGGGGACAACAUUUGGAAACGAAUGCUAAUACCGCAUAAAAACUUUAAACACAAGUUUUAAGUUUGAAAGAUGCAAUUGCAUCACUCAAAGAUGAUCCCGCGUUGUAUUAGCUAGUUGGUGAGGUAAAGGCUCACCAAGGCGAUGAUACAUAGCCGACCUGAGAGGGGGAUCGGCCACAUUGGGACUGAGACACGGCCCAAACUCCUACGGGAGGCAGCAGUAGGGAAUCUUCGGCAAUGGACGAAAGUCUGACCGAGCAACGCCGCGUGAGUGAAGAAGGGUUUCGGAUCGUAAAACUCUGUUGGUAGAGAAGAACGUUGGUGAGAGUGGAAAGCUCAUCAAGUGACGGUAACUACCCAGAAAGGGACGGCUAACUACGUG